Molecule: small RNA, 505 nt
Filed under: Pongo abelii (Sumatran orangutan)
Lineage: Eukaryota; Metazoa; Chordata; Mammalia; Primates; Hominidae
Description: retained intron
Source: RNAcentral
UAUUUAUAAGACAGCAGAAAGGAUUAUAUGCAAAACAGACUUACCGAAUUUCAAAUAAUAUACUUCACAGUAGAAAGAUUCAUAUCAGGGAAUGGCUGAUUUUUAUGGUCCUUCCAACAGAGAAAUAAAUUCUAAGGUUUUUGUUUUGUUUUUAACAUUUUAAGAUUGUAUUUGACAAAUAUGGAAGCAGUAGCUUUUAUGUCUUGUCUGCAGUUAACUUGUUUUUCUGUGAAUUGUUUUAGUUUAUCAUCUGGACUUCAAGCUGCAGGCAGUUCUGUUUUUCCAGGCCUUUUGUCCCUCCCGGGUAUCCCUGGGUUUUCUCAGAAUCCUUCACAAUCAUCCUUGCAAGAAUUACAGCAUAAUGCGGCUGCACAGUCAGCAUUGUUACAGCAGGUCCAUUCAGCUUCGGCUCUGGAAAGCUAUCCAGCUCAGCCUGAUGGGUUUCCUAGUUAUCCUUCAGCGCCAGGAACACCAUUUUCUUUGCAACCAAGCCUGUCCCAAAGUG